This 339-nucleotide ribosomal RNA is filed under the name uncultured bacterium. RNAcentral's name for it is "bacterial SSU rRNA". It matches the Rfam family "Bacterial small subunit ribosomal RNA", at positions 1 to 334 of the family's 1533-position model. The record is from RNAcentral.
CUAGUCGACUUUAGAGUUUGAUCCUGGCUCAGGACAACGGCUGGCGGCAGCCUAACACAUGCAAGUCGAACGGUGAAGAUGGAGCUUGCUCCAUCAGAUCAGUGGCGGACGGGUGAGUAACACGUGAGCAACCUGCCUUUCAUGGGGGACAACAGUUGGAAACGACUGCUAAUACCGCAUAACGUCAUUUGAGGGCAUCCUCGAAUGACCAAAGAUUUAUCGCUGAAAGAUGGGCUCGCGUCUGAUUAGAUAGUUGGUGAGGUAACGGCUCACCAAGUCGACGAUCAGUAGCCGGACUGAGAGGUUGAACGGCCACAUUGGGACUGAGACACGGCCCAG